AUUUUGGCUCUGAAACUAAGGUUUUGAUCUUCACGGAAGAUGAGGGAAGCUUUCAUAGUAAUGUGAUGAAGUUUUUGGAAAAUUGGAAUUGAAAAUCAAACAAUUGAGAUGAAGAUUCGCACUGGUUUGAUUCAAAUGCACAACUCAGGUGAUUUAUAUCUCAGUUCCUCGACCUUCUAACAUCUUCAAUUCUUUCCCCUCUUUUGUACGCUAAGUCAUAUAUUUAUAUAUAUUUUGAAUUUAUUUUAUGAAAGGAUCCACACCAUGGAGCCCUAGUCCGAACGAAUGGAAGAUGUGAAUUGAAAUAAGGUUGUUGUUUUGUAACUCUUUUGGAUCUCUUAUGGGUAUCGGAUUUAGUAAAUUUUCUUUAGGCUACAUAGUUGAAAGGAGAAUGUAAUUCAUUGGAUUUAAGUUAUCCAUAUAAACACUCCAAUUAAUAGGUCAAAUUAUUAUGUUUACUCUGUGCUUGCAUUUUUUUUAUUUUUUACCGUCCAUUUAUAACUUUUCAAAAUAUA
Molecule: long non-coding RNA, 515 nt
Filed under: Cucumis sativus (cucumber)
Lineage: Eukaryota; Viridiplantae; Streptophyta; Magnoliopsida; Cucurbitales; Cucurbitaceae
Description: long non-coding RNA (CSAT_LNC001197)
Source: RNAcentral